This 464-nucleotide ribosomal RNA is filed under the name Vreelandella stevensii. RNAcentral describes it as "partial 16S ribosomal RNA". It matches the Rfam family "Bacterial small subunit ribosomal RNA", at positions 338 to 795 of the family's 1533-position model. The record is from RNAcentral. Lineage: Bacteria; Pseudomonadati; Pseudomonadota; Gammaproteobacteria; Oceanospirillales; Halomonadaceae.
CCUACGGUGGCUGCAGUGGGGAAUAUUGGACAAUGGGCGAAAGCCUGAUCCAGCCAUGCCGCGUGUGUGAAGAAGGCCUUCGGGUUGUAAAGCACUUUCAGUGGGGAAGAAAGCCUUGGGGCUAAUACCCUCGAGGAAGGACAUCACCCACAGAAGAAGCACCGGCUAACUCCGUGCCAGCAGCCGCGGUAAUACGGAGGGUGCGAGCGUUAAUCGGAAUUACUGGGCGUAAAGCGCGCGUAGGCGGUCUGAUAAGCCGGUUGUGAAAGCCCCGGGCUCAACCUGGGAACGGCAUCCGGAACUGUCAGGCUAGAGUGCAGGAGAGGAAGGUAGAAUUCCCGGUGUAGCGGUGAAAUGCGUAGAGAUCGGGAGGAAUAUCAGUGGCGAAGGCGGCCUUCUGGACUGACACUGACGCUGAGGUGCGAAAGCGUGGGUAGCAAACAGGAUUAGAUACCCUAGUAGUC